UUACGGUCAAAUCACGUUGAAAACACCGGUUCUCGUUCGAGCAUCGUAGAGCCAGGUCAGUACUUAGAUGGGUGACCGCUUGGGAACACCUUGUACUGUAAGC
Molecule: non-coding RNA, 103 nt
Organism: Acanthosepion pharaonis
Lineage: Eukaryota; Metazoa; Mollusca; Cephalopoda; Sepiida; Sepiidae
Source: the annotation of a GenBank genome assembly